AGAACUGGUAAUCCGAUGAGUGGAAUGACGGAGUAACGCCCUGAAACGCUCACUCUGAUACUCCGACUUGCCGUGAAAGAAGAAAUUCAGACGGUAAGAAGCUCGGUGAAGUCGGCCGAAAGCAACCGUAAGGCGAAAGCUACGAAACCCGUUCGGAGGCGAACGGCGUUGCCGACAGGUCGGGAGUCUAUAAA
This 194-nucleotide non-coding RNA is filed under the name chicken gut metagenome. The record is from RNAcentral.